CCCUUAGAUGUCCGGGGCUGCACGCGCGCUACACUGUAGAAAGCAGCGUGCUUUAAAACCUUUCCUGAAAAGGAUGGGUAACCCCAGCAAAAUUCUACGUGCUUGGGAUAGAGAUUUGCAAUUUUCACUCUUGAACGAGGAAUUCCCAGUAAGUGCGAGUCAUCAGCUCGCGUUGAUUACGUCCCUGCCCUUUGUACACACCGCCCGUCGCUACUACCGAUUGGGAAAAUUUUAGAGAGUCCUGGACUGAUGAUUGUUCGGCUUCACGGCCUUACUUUCGUCGGGAAAGAAUUCGAUAAUAUUUUUCUAGAGGAAGUAAAAGUCGUAACA
This 330-nucleotide ribosomal RNA is filed under the name uncultured eukaryote. Its description in RNAcentral is "partial 18S ribosomal RNA". It matches the Rfam family "Eukaryotic small subunit ribosomal RNA", at positions 1470 to 1796 of the family's 1831-position model. The record is from RNAcentral.